GGCAGCUGCACUGUUGCCUGCCAGCCUGUCCUCUUUGACUGCCGAAUGAACCAAAGGAUAACUCUCCAUUCGUGAGAGAGAGUGAGCUACAGAGGAAGAAAGACCACGCAAAAGGGAGGGGGAGAGAGGGGGGCGAAGAGGAUGUUCUCCGGCUCACUCCUACAUUAGGUCUCUGUGCAAAGGCAGAGGCUGUGGGAGCAGCAUCAAGCAAGACUUCGGGCAGUGAUUCUAACUAUUGCCUAUGAACACCGUGGCUGGGACGACUUUGACGAGGCAAUUUAUUACUUACGCAUAGAACACUGGCUGUGCUGAAACUGGGAGCGCAAACAGCCCCUUGUUUUCUAAUUUAGAGACUUGCAUCUUUUCGACACUCAACAGUAUCAAGACACUCUGCUACUACAGGUAAAUUGAUUUCCACCAUCAACACCUUUACCUCUUCCCGCCUGAAAAUAAAAUAUGAAAUAUAACAAGUAAAUCGCAAUCUACCUUGGUAAGUAAAAUGAAUUUAAUGAUAAAGAACAAAUU
Molecule: long non-coding RNA, 525 nt
Filed under: Homo sapiens (human)
Lineage: Eukaryota; Metazoa; Chordata; Mammalia; Primates; Hominidae
Description: non-protein coding lnc-MAT2B-3:20
Source: RNAcentral